RNAcentral lists this transfer RNA (72 nucleotides) under Podarcis lilfordi (Lilford's wall lizard). RNAcentral's name for it is "tRNA.Asn". It matches the Rfam family "tRNA". Rfam says of the family: Transfer RNA (tRNA) molecules are approximately 80 nucleotides in length. Their secondary structure includes four short double-helical elements and three loops (D, anti-codon, and T loops). Lineage: Eukaryota; Metazoa; Chordata; Lepidosauria; Squamata; Lacertidae. The record is from RNAcentral.
AUCUGUGGCACAAUGGGUCCGCGUGUCUGGCUGUUAACCAGAAGGUUGGUGGUUCAAGCCCACCUAGAGAUG